GAUGAACGCUGGCGGCGUGCCUAAUACAUGCAAGUCGAGCGAAUGGAUUAAGAGCUUGCUCUUAUGAAGUUAGCGGCGGACGGGUGAGUAACACGUGGGUAACCUGCCCAUAUGACUGGGAUAACUAUUGGAAACGAUAGCUAAUACCGGAUAGGUUGAUUGGAGGCAUCUCUGAUUAAUUAAAGUAGGAUUUCUACACAAAUGGAUGAGUUUAUGGCGCAUUAGUUAGUUGGUGGGGUAACGGCCUACCAAGACGAUGAUGCGUAGCCGACCUGAGAGGGUGACCGGCCACACUGGGACUGAGACACGGCCCAGACUCCUACGGGAGGCAGCAGUAGGGAAUUUUCGGCAAUGGGCGCAAGCCUGACCGAGCAACGCCGCGUGAGUGAUUAAGGCCUUCGGGUUGUAAAGCUCUGUUGUAAGGGAAGUACAUUCAGGAUAGGAAAUGAUCUUGAACUGACGGUGCCUUACCAGAAAGCCACGGCUAACUACGUGCCAGCCGCCGCGGUAA
Molecule: ribosomal RNA, 511 nt
Filed under: uncultured bacterium
Lineage: Bacteria
Description: partial 16S ribosomal RNA
Rfam family: Bacterial small subunit ribosomal RNA
Source: RNAcentral